Small nuclear RNA from Fukomys damarensis (Damara mole-rat), 108 nucleotides. The record is from Ensembl. Lineage: Eukaryota; Metazoa; Chordata; Mammalia; Rodentia; Bathyergidae.
GUGCUCAGCUUUGGCAGCACAUAUACUAAAAUAGAAACAAUACAGAGAAGAUUAGCAUGGCCCCUGUGUGAGGAUGAAAUGCACAUUUGUGAAGCGUUCCAUAUUUUA